GGAUUGACGAUAUUUAGUCUCU
This 22-nucleotide small nuclear RNA is filed under the name Arabidopsis thaliana (thale cress). Its description in RNAcentral is "snRNA_11297". The record is from RNAcentral. Lineage: Eukaryota; Viridiplantae; Streptophyta; Magnoliopsida; Brassicales; Brassicaceae.